This is a long non-coding RNA of Gekko japonicus, 245 nucleotides long. RefSeq lists it as uncharacterized. NCBI's taxonomy places the organism in Eukaryota, Metazoa, Chordata, Lepidosauria, Squamata, Gekkonidae. The transcript has 3 exons. The record is from RefSeq and is a predicted model, not a curated record.
CUUUCUACAAGCUGGGCUCGUGUAGUGCUUUUGGAAGAAAAGCGGAAAGGGCUGACUUUCUCAGCAGCUGGGCAGAGCCAUCAGCAUCUGUUCUGAGAGCGACUCCAACAAGGCGUCGCCUCUGCGAGAACCCUUCAUUCCCCCACUGUCUGUGGUGCGGACCCUCAGCCUUUUGAGGAUGCCACUGGGGGCCCGAAACUAGAGGCUGGACAUGCCCCCCGCCCAUCUUUUACUGAAGAGAUGCU